This 253-nucleotide ribosomal RNA is filed under the name uncultured bacterium. RNAcentral describes it as "partial 16S ribosomal RNA". It matches the Rfam family "Bacterial small subunit ribosomal RNA", at positions 524 to 776 of the family's 1533-position model. The record is from RNAcentral.
UACAGAGGGCUCAAGCGUUGUUCGGAAUCACUGGGCGUAAAGGGUGCGUAGGCCGCACGGUAAGUCAGAGGUGAAAUCCCGGAGCUCAACUUCGGAAUUGCCUCCGAUACUGCCGUGCUUGAGGACUGGAGAGGAGAUUGGAAUUCACAGUGGAGCAGUGAAAUGCGUAGAUAUUGUGAGGAACACUAGUGGCGAAGGCGAAUCUCUGGACAGUUCCUGACGCUGAGGCACGAAGGCCAGGGGAGCAAAUGGG